Camellia sinensis is the source of this 822-nucleotide non-coding RNA. The record is from RefSeq and is a predicted model, not a curated record. NCBI's taxonomy places the organism in Eukaryota, Viridiplantae, Streptophyta, Magnoliopsida, Ericales, Theaceae.
AGAGCAUUUUCACAGUAGUGGACUUGAUUUUCUCUUUCAUUCUCUUAUUUUCCCUCCCGCCAAACAUCAGCAUAAACCCUAGAAAGCCCACAAAACUCCACUCCACUCCACUCCACUCCACUCUGAGCCGAGGAGUAGUAGAAGAAUGGUGAAAAGCUUCACUCUCAUUCAAGCAAUUGCCACCUCAGGCGUCUUCUCUGCUGUUUCUUUCUGGUACGGUUUCAUGUUUGGCAGAGAAUCUUCUCGCAAGGAGCUUGGCGAUUUGAUCGAAAAUCUUCGCCGCCGCAAUUCCGAACCCACUUCUCCUUCGAAUCCCUAAAUUUGUGCUUGUGUCAAGGUUGACCGCAUCAAGUGGCCUGUGAAAACAUCUCUGAUGUGCUUCUUUGAACCAAGUGAUGGGAAAGAUCCUACUGCUGAGAUACAAUGGAAAAGAAUGAAAAAGAAUCGAUGAAUUUUACUCAGCUAGUUCAAUGAAAAAUGAAUUUUGGUAGCGUCUUUGUUUCCUCCAAGUUCUCAGCCAUAUCUUUUGGAGUGAUAAUCAAUGGGUGGUUUUGUUUUGCCUCAAUCCACCAAUCCCCACAAACUCAGACAAGUUCUCGUUGGUAUAUAUGUUUACGGAUGCGCUGCAUAUACAUGGAUGACACAACUUUCUUUGCUUUUCGUUGGUUUAGGAUAAGAAUGGAGCGUCUUUCCAUGAGGGAAAACAUGUGGUGGUGAUGAAAUCUCUGCUUUCAUUUUCUUGGAUUUGGUUUUUAUUUUUAUGACUAAAAGUAUCAAUAGUUGUAUUCUUCUACUGUUCCAUCAAUCACAUGCUUGAUUGGC